This 460-nucleotide ribosomal RNA is filed under the name uncultured bacterium. RNAcentral describes it as "partial 16S ribosomal RNA". It matches the Rfam family "Bacterial small subunit ribosomal RNA", at positions 338 to 795 of the family's 1533-position model. The record is from RNAcentral.
CCUACGAGAGGCAGCAGUGAGGAAUAUUGGUCAAUGUGCGCGAGCCUGAACCAGCCAAGUAGCGUGAAGGAUGACUGCCCUACGGGUUGUAAACUUCUUUUAUAAAGGAAUAAAGUGAGGCACGUGUGCCUUUUUGUAUGUACUUUAUGAAUAAGGAUCGGCUAACUCCGUGCCAGCAGCCGCUGUAAUACGGAGGAUCCGAGCGUUAUCCGGAUUUAUUGGGUUUAAAGUGAGCGUAGAUGGGUUGUUAAGUCAGUUGUGAAAGUUUGCGGCUCAACCGUAAAAUUGCAAUUGAUACUGGCAGUCUUGAGUACAGUUGAGGUAGGCGGAAUUCGUGGUGGAGCGGUGAAAUGCUUAGAUAUCACGAAGAACUCCGAUUGCGAAGGCAGCUUACUAAACUGCAACUGACAUUGAUGCUCGAAAGUGUGGGUAUCAAACAGGAUUAGAUACCCUUGUAGUC